UUGUUAUUUCUUAUUCCGAGACUGAACCGAGCAGAGCUGCCGAAGAAGUGGCAGUCCUGUUCUUUCUGCCUCGUCUGGUGGGGUCAAAUUCUUCCCCGGGAUGAUGUAGAUUCGCUGACCGACUCCUGCCGGAGACUUCGCAGUGACAAAGCAGUUGAAGAUAAACCCUGCUCCUGGGUCCUACGUCCGUCCAAGGAGCUGGACGGGGCACUCCUCAGGGAGUGUUGGACUGUGAGCUAUUGCAGAACUCUGUUCUCAGGACCCGUUAUUUUAACAGCCAGGAGAAGCACAUCUAGAAGAUGCACAUGA
Molecule: long non-coding RNA, 309 nt
Filed under: Felis catus (domestic cat)
Lineage: Eukaryota; Metazoa; Chordata; Mammalia; Carnivora; Felidae
Description: lncRNA (ENSFCAG00000051310.1)
Source: RNAcentral